AGCAGCCGCGGUAAUUCCAGCUCCAAUAGCGUAUAUUAAAGUUGUUGCAGUUAAAAAGCUCGUAGUUGAAUUUCGGGGUUAGUAGGUUGGUCAUGCCUCUGGUAUGUACUGGUCUCACUGAUUCCUCCUUCCUUAUGAACCGUAAUGCCAUUAAUUUGGUGUUGCGAGGAAUUUGGACUGUUACUUUGAAAAAAUUAGAGUGUUUAAAGCAAGCUAACGCUUGAAUACAUUAGCAUGGAAUAAUGAAAUAGGACGUUCGAUCUUAUUUUGUUGGUUUCUAGGAUUGACGUAAUGAUUAAUAGGGAUAGUUGGGGGCAUUAGUAUUCAAUUGUCAGAGGUGAAAUUCUUGGAUUUAUUGAAGACUAACUACUGCGAAAGCAUUUGCCAAGGAUGUUUUCAUUAAUCAAGAACGAAAGUUAGGGGAUCGAAGACGAUCAGAUACCGUCGUAGUCUUAACCAUAAACUAUGCCGACUAGGGAUCGGAUGAUGUUAAUUUUUUAAUGACUCAUUCGGCGCCUUA
RNAcentral lists this ribosomal RNA (520 nucleotides) under uncultured Glomus. RNAcentral describes it as "SSU rRNA". It matches the Rfam family "Eukaryotic small subunit ribosomal RNA", at positions 569 to 1090 of the family's 1831-position model. Lineage: Eukaryota; Fungi; Glomeromycota; Glomeromycetes; Glomerales; Glomeraceae. The record is from RNAcentral.